Mus musculus (house mouse) is the source of this 2079-nucleotide long non-coding RNA. RefSeq annotates it as RIKEN cDNA B430010I23 gene. The transcript is spliced from 3 exons. The record is from RefSeq and is marked validated. NCBI's taxonomy places the organism in Eukaryota, Metazoa, Chordata, Mammalia, Rodentia, Muridae.
AGUGAGUGUUGACAUCUGUCCUAACUCACUUCCCUAAACCACACUCAGCCUUCUCCAGCAAGAUCCAGCGUGAGGACAUCAAGCUGUUUCCUAACAGUGAGUGCCUUGUACACACUAGGCAACUAGCGAACAUUCACUGAUGGAUUAUAAAACAGAGAAGGGGUGGAGAACAUCCAACAUGGGGAUUCUGUGUGCUCUUGUAAGAUGUUUCUGCAGUUCCACCCUCGCCCUUCGCUCGUCCACUCAGACAGGAGGUGCUGGAUCACAACGGUCAGCGCUUCAAACUUGGUGUUACCACGGGAAAGAAGCUGUCUGAGGUGCAGGAUGAAUCCACUUUGGCUUUCACAUUUUGUCUUGUAUUGGGCCAACUCAAGCGUUCUCUCGGAGGACAGCACAUCUGGAGCUGUCUGGGUCUGGAUGCAUAGGCUCCUGGGAUUCUUCUGCCUGCCCUUUUCAACUGCAAGAGGAAGGAAAGAAAAGCACAAAGAAGAUGCGCGUGAGGUUAACUAAUUUUUAUAACCACCACCACCACAUGGGGCUCACAACCAGCCUACUGCCGCCACACCAGAGCAUCUGAACCAUGUUUUACGUUGGGACGUACACAUGGUGGCAGGCUGGAGUAGAUCGGGGAUCAGGAUGGGUGGAACUCGUCAACAGGGCCAAUGGCUUUAGUUCUCACUGUGAAGAUUUAAUGGGGAGUUAUGCACAUGAGCCAAACAGAUUUAGCAACUCAGAAACAUAAAACACUGGAGGCAGGGAAGAGGCAAAAUAGUGACUUCGUGGCCUUUAUUUUUAAUUCACCAUUGUUGUCUGUGUUCAUGAUGUUAUGUGCAUGAGAGUACAGGUUCUCAAAGACUACUGCGGUCCUGUGGCGGUCAGAGGACCACCUCCUAGAGCUGGUUUCCUUUUACUAUGAGUUCCAGGAUCAAGCGCAGGUCACUAGGCUUGCAUGGCAAGCACUUUCACCUGCUGAGCCAUCCCUCCAACUCCACUUCAUAGUUUUUACUCUUCCAGUUAAGUUGACAAAUCUGAAAGUCCUUUCCUGUGUCUGUUGGGGUAGUCCCGCGAUUUCUGUCCUUGAGUCCGUUUGUGUGUGCAUACGCGCAUGUGUAUGUAAGGGGGCAGGGGGAGAGAGAACGAAUGUGAGUCUGCUAUCACAGUGACGCAGUAAAUUAUACCAGGUGACGAAAAGGAACAAGAGUGGCACUGCACUCAUGACACAGGCUGAACAAAGUACAAUUAUACAGUAGGCAGAACUAAGACACACUAUUCAAACGGUUUCCCAUUUUGGAGAAAUGCUGAAGCUAGCCGGUAGUGCACUUAAAUCUAGGAUGCGGUUUAAAUCCCCUUGUGUCUUCAAACAGACGAUGAAAGGGUAUGAUUAAAAAGCAGAGAUUUAAAAAAAAAAAGAAAAGAAAAGAAAAAAGAAAUCAUGGGAUAAGCACUGAGGAAAAUUCUGAUUAUUGGACUUGAAAUGCUUUUCUUUCCUCUCGAAGGCUCCUUUUUAAAAAAUUUGUUAGACUGGGCAUGGUGACACACACUUUUAAUUUAAUUGCUUGGGGGCUGGGGGUGGGGAGGCAGGUGGAUCUCUGAGUUCCAAGACAGCCUGGUCUACAGAGGUUUUGUAGGCCAACUGAGGAGGCGCACUGAGACCCUGCCACCAAAUAAAUGAGUACAUGUGUUAUUUUUGUUUGUUUGUCAGCAUGCUAAGUAAUAGGCUUCAUUAUAGUAUUUCAUAGAUGAUUUGUUUAAGUUUUAGUAAGUUCUUCACAGUUGCUUGCUGGUCUGCCUCCUCCACCCUAAAGCCCUCCCAUUUUCCCAGGAAACCCUUCCUCCUUUACCUCACUGCCCCCUGUACCCUUUCCACAAACACCUCCCACAGAGCUGUCUUCCCCGCUGUCUUUCUGGUCAUUGUCACAGUCUACUCUGCAGAUGUCACCGAAAUCUAAUGACCCAGCAUAUACACUGGAGAUCCUGCACUUUGCUCCUCCGAGGUUACUGGGAAAAGCAGCGUGUGCCUGUGCGCCUGGAUACACUGCCUCAUUUUUCAACAAGCGCAAACUUCGUUCCCCGUGUAGU